This is an RNA transcript of Panicum virgatum (switchgrass), 1976 nucleotides long. RefSeq lists it as uncharacterized. The transcript has 6 exons. The record is from RefSeq and is a predicted model, not a curated record. Lineage: Eukaryota; Viridiplantae; Streptophyta; Magnoliopsida; Poales; Poaceae.
UGCUUCUCCUGGCGGCCCCCUGCUCUCUCCACUCGCACCGGCGGCAGAAGAGGGACGCGGUGUGGCGAGCAGACCGGGCGGGCUCCGCAUCAUGCCGCCUCCGCUCCGGCCGCCAAAGGGCGCGGCGCCCUGGGCCUCCUUCUCUGCGACGCCCUCGUCGCCGCGGAGGCCCCCGCCUACAUUCUCAUUCUUCUUCCCCUCGUCUCGGUCGACCACUGCCUGUCCUCGCGCCGCAGCUGGUAUGGCCGAGCGGCACGAGGCCGCUGCCUUCGCCGCUGCCCACCCACGGCCGGUCCGAGGCGAAUGCACAUGGCUGGCCCGACUUCGCCGCUCCUCGCCCGCGGUUAGUCCGUCGCGGCCGUAGCCGCCCAUGGUCGGUCCGUCGCCACCGCAGCCGCCUCCCCGCGGCCUGCCCAGCACCACGGCUCCUCGCUCGUGGUCGGCCCGGCGGCGACCGCCGCUCCCAGUCCGCGGCCGUAACGGCGUCGUUGCUCUCCGCUCGCCGGCGGCGACCGCGUCCCCCGCUGCGAGCACUGCUGGGCCUAUUUCAGCAGCAACUCCGGUCUGAAGCGCGGGCCUGGUCCACGCCCUGCGGAAGCUCGACGGAUUCGACGACGACACCGAACGCCGAUUCCAGCGCCCCGACGCGUGCCCCAGUUCAACUCUUAUUUUAUCGACCUCGAGAUCUCAGCGAGAUAAAACCACAACUAUACGGGUACAAGUUCUACAGCUCACCUCCUCUUCGUCUUCCAGCAAGGAGCAGCAGUCAGCAGGAAGCCGAGGAAAAAACCAAGCUGCUUGGAUCUGCAGAGACUCAGGUCGGCCAGAUUGCUCAUUUCGUAGCCAGCAAAUGAAGUUUCCACUCUGAAAACAGGAUCUGUAGAUACUCUUUGUAUUCAGACAUCAAGCUUCAGUCAGUUAUCGACGCUAUUAGUGACUGCAUAAAUGGGAUCCCCAUCACAUGCUGCUUCAGAGCCACAGACAGAAAUGGAGGAGCAGAGUGAAACCGCCACAGGAGCCACAGUGGCAGCAGUCAUAUGGAGAAGGCCAUUACACCUGAUCUUUGUGUAUUGUGGGCUGAAACUGCCACCAGUACCAGCAUGGAUGCGACCUAUUAUCAGCUACAUAAACUCACGUUUACCUCCACGCUUGCACCCAUUUAGAUGGCUAUGCAAAACCCUGAUCAAGAACAUAAAACUCUGUGUCAGCUCAGGCACACUUAUAUGGACAGUUAUCUUCAUCAUUUGCUUACCAAAAGGUGAAAGAAACAAGCUUGCAGUUAAGUGUAUCCACAACCUUUCUACUUCAGAUGGUUACUCCUUUACUGCUGACAUUGGCCCACAUUAUCGAAGCUGCAUGGUUCACAUUUGAUCCUGCUUAUUUAAUCGUUUCGUGGCAGUACCUUACUAGCUGGUGCAUGACCCAUUAAGUUGUAAUCUAGCUUCUAUUGGCAGUCGGCCUCCUUUUGAUGGAUAAAUCCAAUCCAUCUAAGAAACCAGCAAUGGAAUUGCUUCAGGUACUCCAGCAACUGCAUGAGCACUACCUGAUGAUGGCAGCAUCUUUUCAAGGUCUACAAUGCUGCUGUCAGACAUGCUCAUCAGCACCACCUAAGCACGGUACUAGCUGUACAAAGCCAUGACCAAGGAUCACCAACAGCACUUGGAGUGCCUUAGUAAGAAUUAAUAGUUAUGAGAACUAAACCUCUAGCUAAUGCAUAUUAAGUAUUUAAGUUCUUCGUUCCAUAUUAGAACUGCUUGUUUAAUUUUGCGCAGCAUUUUGAAAAUAAAGCAAUGGUGCAUGUCUGUAUGGCCAACAAGAGAGCACAAUUCCAUUGCAAAUAUUUUGCAUCUUGCUACCUUAACCAAAUGUGAUUGAUUGGGCUAUUUCAGCAAAAUUAUCCUCGAACUAUUGGAAUGCUAAUCUGUAUGGACCAUUUAGUUACUUUGCCCAUCUUAUGACAAUGAUAACUCUACUAA